RNAcentral lists this ribosomal RNA (463 nucleotides) under uncultured bacterium. Its description in RNAcentral is "partial 16S ribosomal RNA". The record is from RNAcentral.
GGUCGCCCUUGCCACCUUCCUCCAUCCCCAGAUCAUUCUGGCUGACGAACCAACUACCGCCCUCGAUGUCGUUGUGCAGCGUGGCAUCCUGCGCAUGCUCACCCGCUUACAGCAGGCAAUGGGCAACACCUUGAUCAUCGUCUCGCACGACAUGGGCGUCCAUCACCAGAUCACCCAUCGCAUGGCGAUCAUGUAUGCAGGCCAGCUUGUCGAAGUCGGGCCGACUGAACGUAUCUUCGCCUCCGCCGAGCACCCGUAUACGGAGAUGCUGAUCAAGUCGCUGCCUCGCAUAGGCGACCAUACCGCACGCGAGGGCAUCCGGGGACGGCCCCCCAGCCUAGUCGACCCGCCGCGCGGGUGUCCCUUCGCCCCGCGCUGCCCGCACGCCAUGAGCAUCUGCACCCAAUCCCGUCCGCCGCUCGUCGAAACAGAACGCGAUCACCUUGCUGCCUCCCGUAGGAGU